ACGCUAGCGGCAGGCCUAACACAUGCAAGUCGAACGAUAUUAUCCAGCUUGCUGGAUAUGAAAGUGGCGCACGGGUGCGUAACGCGUAUGCAACCUACCUUAAUCAGGGGGAUAGCCCGAAGAAAUUCGGAUUAAGACCACAUAAAAACACAGGAUAGCAUUAUCCAAUGUUCAAAUAUUUAUAGGAUUAAGAUGGGCAUGCGUGACAUUAGUUAGUUGGCGGGGUAACGGCCCCACCAAGACCACGAUGUCUAGGGGAUCUGAGAGGAUGACCCCCCACACUGGUACUGAGACACGGACCAGACUCCUACGGGAGGCAGCAGUAAGGAAUAUUGGUCAAUGGAGGGAACUCUGAACCAGCCAUGCCGCGUGCAGGAUGACGGCCCUCUGGGUUGUAAACUGCUUUUAUUCGGGAAUAAACCUACUUACGUGUAAGUAGCUGAAUGUACCGAAGGAAUAAGGAUCGGCUAACUCCGUGCCAGCAGCCGCGGUAAUACGGAGGAUCCAAGCGUUAUCCGGAUUUAUUGGGUUUAAAGGGUGCGUAGGCGGCUUUUUAAGUCAGGGGUGAGAGACGGUAGCUCAACUAUCGCAGUGCCCUUGAUACUGAAGAGCUUGAAUGAACUAGAGGUAGGCGGAAUGUGACAAGUAGCGGUGAAAUGCAUAGAUAUGUCACAGAACACCGAUUGCGAAGGCAGCUUACUAUGGUUUAAUUGGCGCUGAGGCACGAAAGCGUGGGGAUCAAAC
RNAcentral lists this ribosomal RNA (744 nucleotides) under uncultured bacterium. RNAcentral's name for it is "bacterial SSU rRNA". It matches the Rfam family "Bacterial small subunit ribosomal RNA", at positions 33 to 773 of the family's 1533-position model. The record is from RNAcentral.